Molecule: ribosomal RNA, 497 nt
Filed under: uncultured bacterium
Lineage: Bacteria
Description: partial 16S ribosomal RNA
Rfam family: Bacterial small subunit ribosomal RNA
Source: RNAcentral
GAUGAACGCUGGCGGCGUGCCUAAUACAUGCAAGUCGAGCGAACAGACGAGGAGCUUGCUCCUCUGACGUUAGCGGCGGACGGGUGAGUAACACGUGGAUAACCUACCUAUAAGACUGGGAUAACUUCGGGAAACCGGAGCUAAUACCGGAUAAUAUAUUGAACCGCAUGGUUCAAUAGUGAAAGACGGCUUUGCUGUCUCUUAUAGAUGGAUCUGCGCCGCAUUAGCUAGUUGGUAAGGUAACGGCUUACCAAGGCAACGAUGCGUAGCCGACCUGAGAGGGUGGUCGGCCACACUGGAACUGAGACGCGGUCCAGGCUCCUACGGGAGGCAGCAGUAGGGAAUCUUCCGCAAUGGGCGAGAGCUUGACGGAGCAACGCCGCGUGAGUGAUGAAGGUCUUCGGAUCGUAAAACUCUGUUAUUAGGGAAGAACAAAUGUGUAAGUAACUAUGCACGUCUUGACGGUACCUAAUCAGAAAGCCACGGCUAACUACGUG